Molecule: long non-coding RNA, 1899 nt
Filed under: Solanum lycopersicum (tomato)
Lineage: Eukaryota; Viridiplantae; Streptophyta; Magnoliopsida; Solanales; Solanaceae
Description: long non-coding RNA (SLYC_LNC000447)
Source: RNAcentral
CUUGGGAUUUCUUUACAUGGCUGUCCCUGCAAUCUCUACUCAAACUCUCAACCUCAAGCUUCAUUUGGGACAAGGCUGCAGGCCCUGGCAACUUCUACCUUGACAGUAUCUAAGAGAAGGAAGAAAUAACACAAACUCACUUGACUAAAUGGAAACAUUUAUAAUAUAUCAUUUAUGAAGUUACGAAAUGGAAAGGUUUACAAUAUAUCAUUUAUGAAGUUACUUCACGAUUCACUUCAAAAUUCAUAAAAUAAGAAGGAAGAAAUAAACACAAUCUACAUCAAAAUAUACAUUCAUGCUCUCAGAAAAGAGACAAAUAUUAACUGGAGAAAAAUCAAUUAAAGAAUACACUUGAAAUCAAAAUAUUGAUCAAAACACUGAUUCUAGACAAACUUAGUUACACAGAUAAAUUUGAUCAUUUUUUAAAAUCAAAAUAUUACAGGAAAUUCAAUGGCAUAUCAUAUAGAGUACUCAAGGGAAAUACAUAAAACAGUUAACAGUUCAUAACCAACUAGGAAAAUGACCCAGCAUAAGACACAGCCAGAAAUAAAAAAAAACUGAAAAUCUUCAACUGUACAGGCUUUACUUAAUACUACAAGUUUAUUCCCAGCCAAAGCACUUAACCAGAGAUCUCAAUGGACUUGACCAUAGGUUUCUUUACCUCUUCCUUUGGAACAGUUACACUAAGCACUCUAUUCUCCAUAAAAGCCUUAACUUGAUCCAUCUUUGCAUUCUCCGGAAGUCUAAACCUUCUCAUGAAUUUCCAUUGCUUUGCUCCACACAAUGCCAAGUAUCGUUCUUAUCUUCUUUCUCUACCUUCCUCUCUCUGCUAAUUUGAAGAACCCUAUCCUCUUUGAUCUCCACUUUCACUUCCUCCUUCUUAAGCCCUGGAAGAUCAGCCUUGAACAAGUGAGCUUCUGGAGUUUCCUUCCAGUCUAUUCGAGUGUUAGCAAAUGCAGGGGUCUCCCCUGAAUUGGUACCUUAAUUAGCUUCAUUAGAUGAGUGUUUAGCACUUCCUCCAUACUUCUACUAUACACUGAGACAUUCUAGAGCCAAGUAGAUGUUCCAGAAGCAGAUGUCAAGAACUUUCUCGAUUAAUUCCGGUAGGCCCAUUACAGAUCACCACUGAGAUAUGGAAACUAGGCUUCUUUCAAUCGGCUCAAUUCAACCAGUCGUCUUAACUUUGUUCUUUACAACAGCCCACAAUCAUCUACUAGUUUUCUAGUUCACUUUUUUCUGCGGAUCCUAAGAUAAUAUGAAGUAUAAAGUCCAAACAAUUCAAGGAGAUUUCUGUUACCAAAAACCACACUCAUGAUUUCUUGCCAACGUUCAUAAGAUGAUACAUGAACUACAAAGUCCAAAUAGUAGCUAAACAGAAAGCCAUAUCCAAAUUUUGAAGUGGAAUACACAAUUCAAGGUCACGUAAAAACAGAAUUAGCCAUUUUCUCAAUCAAUUUUACAUGAAACAUUAACCAUUCUACUUAUUUAAUCCAAGAAAGAAACCCCCCCCAAAAGAAAUCACAAAACCCACCUGCAUUUUCCUUCCAUAAACAAAUUUUACGCAAGAAACCCCAUAACCAACAAACAAAGAAGUGAAUAAUCAAAGAUAAAAACCAGUACUCCAAUUAUUUUCCAUAAUAAAGAGAGAUCAAAAUCAGAGAAAGACUCACAAGUUUGGAGGAUGAGAAAUCGAGCAGAGACAAUUGUAUUCAGUUUUCCAAUCUGUGACCAAAAACAGAGAAAGCCAUUGCUUUUCUCUUCGCCUUCUCUUAGUUGUCGUCUCCAAGAAAACGAAGAAGAAAGUUACUAUAAUACAUAUGCGAUUUGAAUUGACCGUUAGGAGCGGACAACGGAACAGGGGGCUAAUUUGAAUUCUAGAGAGACUGAUUUUUUUCUUCC